GAAAUUGCGGGUGCUAUAAUGCAAGUCGAGCGAAUCUGAUGGGAGCUUGCUCCCUGAUGAUUAGCGGCGGACGGGUGAGUAACACGUGGGUAACCUGCCUGUAAGACUGGGAUAACUCCGGGAAACCGGGGCUAAUACCGGAUAACUUUUUUCUUCGCAUGAAGGAGAAUUGAAAGAUGGCUUCUGCUAUCCCUUUCCGAUGGGCCCCCGGCGCAAUAACUAAUUGGGGAGGGAACGGCUCCCCCAGGGGACCAUGCCUAACCCAAUUGGGAGGGUGGUCGGGCCCCCUGGGACUGGAACCCCGGCCCAAAUCCUACCGGAGGGAGCCAUAAGGAAUCCUCCCCAAUGGACCAAAGUCUGAACGAACCACCCCCCCUGGGUGAUGAAAGGUUUCCGAUCCUAAAACUCUGGUGGUAGGGAAGAACCAGUAACCUUCCAAUAAGGGGGGACCUUGGCCGUACCUAACCCGAAAGCCACCGCUUACUACCUGGCAGCCGCCGGCGUAAUACCUAAGUGGCAAGCCUUGGUCGGAAUAAUGGCGGAAGGCGCGCAAGCCGGUUCUUAGUCCGAUGUUAAAUCUUGCGGUCAACGCAAGCGGCCAUUGGAACUGGGAGACUUGAGUGCAGAAGAGGAGAGUGGAAUUCCACGUGUAGCGGUGAAAUGCGUAGAGAUGUGGAGGAACACCAGUGGCGAAGGCGACUCUCUGGUCUGUAACUGACGCUGAGGCGCGAAAGCGUGGGGAGCGAACAGGAUUAGAUACCCUGGUAGUCCACGCCGUAAACGAUGAGUGCUAAGUGUUAGAGGGUUUCCGCCCUUUAGUGCUGCAGCUAACGCAUUAAGCACUCCGCCUGGGGAGUACGGCCGCAAGGCUGAAACUCAAAGGAAUUGACGGGGGCCCGCACAAGCGGUGGAGCAUGUGGUUUAAUUCGAAGCAACGCGAAGAACCUUACCAGGUCUUGACAUCCUCUUGACCUCCCUAGAGAUAGGGAUUUCCCUUCGGGGACAGGAGUGACAGGUGGUGCAUGGUUGUCGUCAGCUCGUGUCGUGAGAUGUUGGGUUAAGUCCCGCAACGAGCGCAACCCUUGACCUUAGUUGCCAGCAUUCAGUUGGGCACUCUAAGGUGACUGCCGGUGACAAACCGGAGGAAGGUGGGGAUGACGUCAAAUCAUCAUGCCCCUUAUGACCUGGGCUACACACGUGCUACAAUGGAUGGUACAAAGGGCUGCAAGACCGCGAGGUUUAGCCAAUCCCAUAAAACCAUUCUCAGUUCGGAUUGUAGGCUGCAACUCGCCUACAUGAAGCCGGAAUCGCUAGUAAUCGCGGAUCAGCAUGCCGCGGUGAAUACGUUCCCGGGCCUUGUACACACCGCCCGUCACACCACGAGAGUUUGUAACACCCGAAGUCGGUGAGGUAACCUUUUGGAGCCAGCCGCCGAAGGUGAACCAGGAUUG
This 1451-nucleotide ribosomal RNA is filed under the name bacterium. Its description in RNAcentral is "bacterial SSU rRNA". It matches the Rfam family "Bacterial small subunit ribosomal RNA". The record is from RNAcentral.